AUUUAAUGUAAUUCCUAUGAUGUUAAUACACCAGAUCCCAUUAGAAAUCCACAGUUAAGCAUGCUUGGGAUAUAGUAGUACUGGGAUGGGUGGCCUACCAAUAAUUCCUAGUAUUUUACAUG
Non-coding RNA from Picea glauca (white spruce), 122 nucleotides. NCBI's taxonomy places the organism in Eukaryota, Viridiplantae, Streptophyta, Pinopsida, Pinales, Pinaceae. The record is from Rfam.